GCACAACGCGAAGAACCUUACCAAGGCUUGACAUACACGAGAACACCGUAGAAAUACGGGACUCUUUGGACACUCGUGAACAGGUGGUGCAUGGUUGUCGUCAGCUCGUGUCGUGAGAUGUUCGGGUUAAGUCCCGCAACGAGCGCAACCCUCGUUCUAUGUUGCCAGCACGUAGUGGUGGGAACUCAUGGGAUACUGCCCGGGGUCAACUCGGAGGAAGGUCGGGGAUGACGUCAAAUCAUCAUGCCCCUUAUGUCUUGGGCUUCACGCAUGCUACAACGGCCGGUACAAAGGGCUGCAAUACCGCGAGGUGGAGCGAAUCCCAAAAAGCCGGUCCCAGUUCGGAUUGAGGUCUGCAACUCGACCUCAUGAAGUCGGAGUCGCUAGUAAUCGCAGAUCAGCAACGCUGCGGUGAAUACGUUCCCGGGUCUUGUACACACCG
This 442-nucleotide ribosomal RNA is filed under the name uncultured bacterium. RNAcentral's name for it is "bacterial SSU rRNA". It matches the Rfam family "Bacterial small subunit ribosomal RNA", at positions 954 to 1392 of the family's 1533-position model. The record is from RNAcentral.